GCAAAUUACCCACUCCCGGCACGGGGAGGUAGUGACAAAAAUAACGAUACGGGACUCAUCCGAGGCCCCGUAAUCGGAAUGAGCACACUUUAAAUCCUUUAACGAGUAUCCAUUGGAGGGCAAGUCUGGUGCCAGCAGCCGCGGUAAUUCCAGCUCCAAUAGCGUAUAUUAAAGUUGUUGCGGUUAAAAAGCUCGUAGUCGGACUUGUGUCACACGCUGCCGGUUCACCGCCCGUCGGUGUCUAACUGGCAUGCACGUGCUGACGUCCUGCCGGUGGCCCAAGCCGGUCCGGGACCUCUGUGUGCGGGAUUCCCUCCGGGGGCCCGCCUCGAGCCCGGUCUCUGGGGAGGGCCUACUCAUACCCCUCGCGGUGCUCUUAACCGAGUGUCUCGAUGGGCCGGCACGUUUACUUUGAACAAAUUAGAGUGCUUAAAGCAGGCAGCAUCCGCCUGAAUACUGAGUGCAUGGAAUAAUGGAAUAGGACCUCGGUUCUAUUUUGUUGGUUUUCGGAAUCCCCGAGGUAAUGAUCAAUAGGGACAGACGGGGGCAUUCGUAUUGCGACGUUAGAGGUGAAAUUCUUGGAUCGUCGCAAGACGGACCGAAGCGAAAGCAUUUGCCAAGAAUGUUUUCUCUGAUCAAGAACGAAAGUUAGAGGUUCGAAGGCGAUCAGAUACCGCCCUAGUUCUAACCAUAAACGAUGCCAGCCAGCAAUCCGCCGAAGUUCCUCCGAUGACUCGGCGGGCGGCUUCCGGGAAACCAAAGCUUUUGGGUUCCGGGGGAAGUAUGGUUGCAAAGCUGAAACUUAAAGGAAUUGACGGAAGGGCACCACCAGGAGUGGAGCCUGCGGCUUAAUUUGACUCAACACGGGAAACCUCACCAGGCCCGGACACCGGGAGGAUUGACAGAUUGAGAGCUCUUUCUUGAUUCGGUGGGUGGUGGUGCAUGGCCGUUCUUAGUUGGU
This 961-nucleotide ribosomal RNA is filed under the name Caeparia crenulata. RNAcentral describes it as "SSU rRNA". It matches the Rfam family "Eukaryotic small subunit ribosomal RNA", at positions 436 to 1302 of the family's 1831-position model. Lineage: Eukaryota; Metazoa; Arthropoda; Insecta; Blattodea; Blaberidae. The record is from RNAcentral.